ACGGGGAAUUAGGGUUCAAUUCCGGAGAGGGAGCCUGAGAAACGGCUACCACAUCUAAGGAAGGCAGCAGGCGCGCAAAUUACCCAAUUCUAACAGCAUAAGAGAGGUAGUGACAAGAAAUAACAGUACAAGGCAGUUAAAAUGCUUUGUAAUUGGAAUGAUAGAAAUUUAAAUACUUUUUAAAGUAUCAAUUGGAGGGCAAGUCUGGUGCCAGCAGCCGCGGUAAUUCCAGCUCCAAUAGCGUAUAUUAAAAUUGUUGCAGUUAAAAAGCUCGUAGUUGAAUUUUUGCUAAAAAUAACCGGUCUGCUUUUAUUAAUAAAAGUGGUAUCUUGGUGUGUUUUUAGCAAUAAUGUCCUUUGAAAUGUUUUUUACUUUAUUGUAAGAGGCAAUUUUCAGGAUUUUUACUUUGAGAAAAUUAGAGUGUUUCAAGCAGGCUAACGUUUUGAAUACUGCAGCAUGGAAUAAUAAAAUAGGAUUUUAGUUCUACGUUAUUGGUUUUAAGAACUAAAUUAAUGAUUGAUAGGAGCAGUUGGGGGCAUUUGUAUUUAACUGUCAGAGGUGAAAUUCUU
Molecule: ribosomal RNA, 569 nt
Filed under: Hepatozoon sp. JPM-2014
Lineage: Eukaryota; Apicomplexa; Hepatozoidae
Description: bacterial SSU rRNA
Rfam family: Eukaryotic small subunit ribosomal RNA
Source: RNAcentral